Molecule: non-coding RNA, 31 nt
Filed under: Mus musculus (house mouse)
Lineage: Eukaryota; Metazoa; Chordata; Mammalia; Rodentia; Muridae
Source: RNAcentral
UGCCUGGGAUUAAAGGCAUGUCCUGCCAUGC